CAUGGCAGGACGCGCGAUCACGUUUGUCUUUAGUUUGCUGGCGUUUUUUUCAAACGCUCUAACAGCAGUGGUCCAAACACAGCAGACUGUGCUGGCAGCAGUGGGAGAAGAUGCUGAAGUCAGCUGUCAGCUCUUGAAGACUAAAGACGUCCUUCAGGUCACAUGGCAGAAAAUCUCUCCUGAUGUGGAGACAAAUGUUGCCACCUACAGCAAGUACUAUGGUCAGAGAGUGAAUGAUGGCUUUACAGAUAAAGUUGGGUUUAUAUACACUGGACUACAGAACUGCUCCAUAGUCAUCAGGAAUGUGACAUAUGAGGAUGAAGCCUUCUAUCACUGUCUGUUUAACACUUAUCCUGAAGGCUCUCUGACAGGGAAACCCUACCUCCAAGUUUAUAAGCUGCAUGAACCUGUUGUUGAUGUCAGAGAGUCAAACUCUACUGAAGAGUGGGUUGUUUCCUGUUCAGCCACUGGUCGACCUGCUCCCACUGUAACACUCAGUGUCUCACAAGAAGACCUCAACUUCUCACAGUACAACACUGUCAGUGUGGCCAACACCAACGCUACAUUCACUGUCACCACUACAGCUGUGCUCUCAGGUUCACGUAAACACAGCACACAGGUGGGAUGUGCAGCACGAGUGCUCUCUGCUCCUCACAGAGAGGUGAUGGUGACGAUUCCUGAGGUCCAGCAGACGUCUGAUCAUGAAUAUGAUUCCACCGUGAUAAUUGUAUCAGCUGUAGUACCGGUGUUGGUCCUUGGUUGUGUAAUUCUGCUCGUCACUGUUCGUCUUAAAGAAAAAGACAAGCAGAGGGACCAUGAGAAGAGCAAAACACCACAAAAGUCAACCAAUAAGAUGGACGGGAACCAAACACCUUUAAUCAAGAUGAAAAGCGAGGAGAUAAGACAACGAACACCAAAUAACAACAGCCCAACAAAUGAUCCCAUAAAACCACCAUCACGAGCAGCAAGAAAACUUGAGCUGUAAAUAAAUAUUUACUCAUAUAUGCUUAGAAGUAUAUAAUCAUGUGUAGAUUGAAAGAAUGUCUCAUCCUAGGAGGUCUGUUGAAGAGGGGGGUGCGUUCACUCCUCUACAGAGUGUUCUGGCAUAGAUCACACACCUCCUAGGAGAGGUCGUAUCUUCUCUUGCUGAUAUAUGGUAUAGCAUGUAUAUCUGUUUGAGUGUAAGAGCCUUUUGUGUGACCUAAUUAUUUGUCAUGUCACAUUUUUUGUUCUAUUUGAAGCACAACUGUAUUAAAUUGUAUUGAUUAACAGCAGCAACAUGUUGUAACAGUAGAGAGCUGUUGCUCGUUAAAACGAGUGCUGCAGCAUUUUUAUCAGGAUGAGUUUUGGACUUUGGUCGUUGCAAAUUUGAUUCUUUUAAGUAUUUCGCACCUUAAGUGAACACUGUUGUGGACUACAUUUUUUAUUAGCACUUUUUAAUAUUUUUGUUAUCUUCUUUUGAACACCACACUAAAAAACUGCAUUACUGUAACUUUCCAUUUUUACAUUGACAAUGAAGCUGUUGAACCUUGAAUUGUGUGUUGACACAUAUUUGUUAGUGUAGGUUUUUAUUGUAAUGGUUGAAGCACUUUUAACAUUUUAAUUUCAAAAUCAUUGAUUAUGAUAAAUGAUCACACGGCAAUCUUAAUGUUUGGGUUUCUUUUUCUAGGUUUGGAUGAAAAAUCUGGAUCCAUCACUAGAGAGUUUAGUAUGUUUGCUUUCACAUAUUUAUAAAUUCCUGUUCAGUCUGUUUUACCUUUAUAGUGCUUGACUUUAUUACAUCUUUCUCAGUCUUUUUCUUAAGAUAUUCAUAAUCGCGUCUGUGGUUGUGGCCUGUGUUACUGCACGUAACUGUUUAAUGUCCAAAAUAAAUAAAUAAA
Maylandia zebra (zebra mbuna) is the source of this 1880-nucleotide non-coding RNA. NCBI's taxonomy places the organism in Eukaryota, Metazoa, Chordata, Actinopteri, Cichliformes, Cichlidae. The record is from RefSeq and is a predicted model, not a curated record.